Long non-coding RNA from Drosophila suzukii, 650 nucleotides. RefSeq lists it as uncharacterized. Lineage: Eukaryota; Metazoa; Arthropoda; Insecta; Diptera; Drosophilidae. The record is from RefSeq and is a predicted model, not a curated record.
UUGAAUAUUUGGUCAUUAACGUGCUAAAAUAUUAAAGAGAUUAUAAAUCCACACCCUUUACAAUUUACAAUUCACAAAUCUUUAUUAAGCUACCUUACAUGGAAUUAUUUCCUAGUGUCACAUGAAAGGGUUAAGGAAGGAUUUGGUUCGGGGUUAUCACAAUCUGAUAAGGUGCUUGCACCUAUGCGUGAUCAAGAAAAGGUGACUUAAGUUAUGUUGAAUAUUUGGUUACUAAAGUGCUAAAAUAUUCAAAACAUUAUAAAUCCACAUCUAUAUUAUUAAAACAAAAAGGCACAAAUCUUUGUUAAGCUACCUUAAAUGGAAAUAUUGGUCCGAGGUUAUCGCAUUCUGAAAAUGCACCUAUGCGUGAUCAAGAGGUGUAUAGCAGACGGUCUUUGAAAUCACCAUCCAGUUUCAAAAUAAAAAUCAACAUGAAAUUACUGAUCGUCCUGUUCGCCUUGAUAGCAGUUGCUUAUGCCCGCUAUUAUGACAGUUAUGAAUAUGAUUCUAGCAGCUAUGAAAGUGAUGAAAGCUACGAAGAUACAGGAGGGAUCUACACAAAAUUCAAAAGCGGUGCGCUGCAAGCCGUUGCUACCCGUGGUAGCAAGAGUAUAUAAUAUACAAGAAUAAUAAAAGAACAUACAUACAAA